CCUCUGUCCCCUGUCUCUCUGCCCCUCCCUUGCUUGUGUGCUCUCUUUCAGAAAUAAACAUUUAAAACGAAACAUGCCGUAACUCAGUGUCAGAGCCUAGGAUAAUGCCGGGCCCAUUGUGGGGCCCCCAGGUAUUGGUUGAACAAAUGAAUUAAUGAAUGAAUGAGUUUAUAAAUCACUGGCUAGCAGUAUUUAAUAAAAUAUGUCUGUAGAGCGAGCCAUUUCCCAUAUUGAGGGUGGAUUCACGGUGGUGCAACCAACUGUCACACACACACACACACACACACACACGGUGUCCCUUGUCACAAUUUAGAUAAUAGCUGGGUGUGGUCAAGAGUCCAGGACUCCCGACAGAGAGAAGCCAGCAACUCCUGAGGACUGAGCUCUCGGCUGAGGUGAACAGCGAUGGAUAGUUGAAGACCACUCUUCCAGAAGCUUUCCGUUCUACAGCUGUACCACCCAAUAUGGCGGCUACUAGCCCUUGAAAGAUGGCUCCUCUAAACUGAGAUGUGCUGUAAAUGUAGAGUGCACACCAGAUUUCAAAGAUUUAAUACCAAAAAUGUAAAGUAUCUCAUUUAUAAUGUUUAUGUAUGGAUCACACGUUGCAAUGAUACUCUCGUGGCUGUAGGUGUUAAGUAAAAUGUAUUACUAGAAUUAAUUUCACCUGUUUCUUUGUACUUUUCUUAAUCUGACUACUAGAAAUUUUAAAUUACAUAUACAGCUCACAUUAUGUUCCUAUUGAUCUAGAAGUUCUACGGGAGCCAGCAAGCCUCACAGCUGAAAUAAGUGCUGGUCCCCCCCCCCGCCCCUGCGCACUUAUCUUCAGGGAUGAUUUCUUGCAGACAAUAUUGAAAAAUGUGCCGAUGAAAGUUACCACAAGAAGCAAACUGGUCCUGUCUGAAUCUGGAAAUAGUUCUUUGAAGCUUGUUACCAUAUGAUCACGAGAGUGUUUCAUUAAGUAUUUCUGAUCACAGAUGUGGCACAUUAUUAAAAUAUCAUUUUUACGGUCACCCUAGAGGCGAGGGUUAUCUGAAUAUGGAGAGAGAAACAGCUUGUGGGAGCUGUUGUAUAAAUGAAAUUACUAGAAAGCAGUGCACUCGAUUGCAUAUUGGCUUGGGGGCUUAUUCUUAUUAAAAUGUUUAGAUAGCAGUUUCUGUUCAUUUUCUGCAGAAUUGCUCUCCAAAUUAAAAAUUUGGCUUGGCACACCAAUAGACCAGAGUCCUGGGAGAAGUUUAUCCUCCUUUUCUUCUCGUUAUCCUUGCCUAAGCACUUAGAUGCCGUGCUGAUAGGGAGCGCAGAAGGUCUGCACGGAGCACACGCGUUUGAAUUUCCUGCAGCCCUGCAAAUGGGCGCACUCGAACUUGCCUAAAAGAAGUCAGCGCGGGCUUCAAGCAUAUCAGAAGGUCUAUCUAUAGGAAAGCAACCACUCUGUCUCUCUUAUGAUAAUUUUUAGAAACAAUUUUUAACGGAAAUUGGCCUUCAUAGUUGAAGACUUGCAAAAAUAGACUAGAAGCCACUGCAUACACAAAAUGAAAUAUAAGCCUUCGCAGAAUUCAGACUAAUAAAUGACUUCUCAGCCAAUGAACAAGACAGCAGAAGACUGAACCUUUGGUGCAAGAUGACUUCCUUCCCUACGUGUAUGUUUGCUUCCUCGACGUCAACACGAUGGCAACCAGAACGCGGCCACGGCAACUGUCUGGAAACGUCUAUUCUCACCUGGAGCCCAAGAGCCACGCCCACUGGGCACACAGCCUCCCUCCCUCACCUCAAUUAUAUUCAAAUUUACCAAUGCUUCAGCUGGUGUGAAAAGAGUGCUAGCUGAUGCUAUUGACCGUGAAGUGGGAUGAUUCUUGUAACUUCCGUCAGCAAAAGGCCUUAUUGGCAGUGGGGUUGGGGAGCUGGGGAAAGAGUGUGUGUGUGUGUGUGUGUGUGUGUGUGUGUGUGAUUCGUUCGCGCCUACAGAGAGGACAAAACCCACAAUAACAUUUUGUGAUUCAGCUGACACAUCCUUUCUCUCUGUCUCUCAAUCACCUAGGUUAAUGAGGACAACAGAAAACAUAGUUAAUGCCUGAACCUACUCUCAUCAUAAUCCUUUGUUUCAAAGCCCUUCCUUUCCUGAGAUCACUACCUUCACUCUUCCCUGUCGUGAGGCUGUUAUUGAGGAAUUAAAUGGGGGGAGGCCAGGCAGAGAAAGGAAGUGGGCCGCCAGAAAGUCAAGAGUUGCGUGGGUACUCUUCUAGAAUGUUCCGCAUUACUUCAGUGAGGGAUUCUUAACUAGUGUGUUACUAUGAAACAAGUCAAAUAAAUCUCUGACCUUGAUAAAGUG
This is a long non-coding RNA of Lynx canadensis (Canada lynx), 2326 nucleotides long. RefSeq lists it as uncharacterized. The transcript has 2 exons. The record is from RefSeq and is a predicted model, not a curated record. Lineage: Eukaryota; Metazoa; Chordata; Mammalia; Carnivora; Felidae.